GGGCUCGUAGCUCAGUGGAUAGAGCGUCUGCCUCCGGAGCAGAAGGCCGUGGGUUCAAAUCCCAUCGAGCCCA
RNAcentral lists this transfer RNA (73 nucleotides) under Gardnerella vaginalis. RNAcentral's name for it is "tRNA-Arg". It matches the Rfam family "tRNA". From Rfam's summary of the family: Transfer RNA (tRNA) molecules are approximately 80 nucleotides in length. Their secondary structure includes four short double-helical elements and three loops (D, anti-codon, and T loops). The record is from RNAcentral. RNAcentral also lists the same sequence under 1 other name. Lineage: Bacteria; Bacillati; Actinomycetota; Actinomycetes; Bifidobacteriales; Bifidobacteriaceae.